CAAUAGCGUAUAUUUAAGUUGUUGCAGUUAAAAAGCUCGUAGUUGGAUUUCUGUUGAGAACGUCCGGUCCGCACUAUGUGCGUGUAUCUGGUUCGGUCUUGGCAUCCUCUUGAGGAACGUAUCUGCGCUUGAUUGCGUGGAGCGGUAUUCAAGACUUUUACUUUGAGGAAAUUAGAGUGUUCACGGCAGGCAAGCGCCUUGAAUACGUUAGCAUGGAAUAAUAAUAUAGGAUCUUGGUUCUAUUUUGUUGGUUUCUAGGGCUAAGGUAAUGAUUAAUAGGGAUAAUUGGGGGCAUUUGUAUUAACGCGUCAGAGGUGGAAUUCUUGGAUUGCGUUACGACAAACUACUGCGAAAGCAUUUGCCAAGGAUGUUUUCAUUGA
RNAcentral lists this ribosomal RNA (380 nucleotides) under uncultured eukaryote. Its description in RNAcentral is "partial 18S ribosomal RNA". It matches the Rfam family "Eukaryotic small subunit ribosomal RNA", at positions 592 to 976 of the family's 1831-position model. The record is from RNAcentral.